This 253-nucleotide ribosomal RNA is filed under the name uncultured bacterium. Its description in RNAcentral is "partial 16S ribosomal RNA". It matches the Rfam family "Bacterial small subunit ribosomal RNA", at positions 524 to 776 of the family's 1533-position model. The record is from RNAcentral.
UACGGAGGAUGCGAGCGUUGUCCGGAUUUAUUGGGUUUAAAGGGUGCGUAGGCGGCCCGUUAAGUCAGCGGUAAAAUUCACCGGCUCAACCGGUGGCCUGCCGUUGAUACUGGUGGGCUUGAGUGCGGGCGAGGUAAGCGGAAUUGGCAGUGUAGCGGUGAAAUGCUUAGAUAUUGCCAGGAACACCGAUUGCGAAGGCAGCUUACUGGGGCGCAACUGACGCUGAGGCACGAAAGCGCGGGGAUCAAACAGG